UGGGAAUAAAAUGUUCCACGUGUGGGAUUUUGUAUGUACCAUAUGAAUAAGGAUCGGCUAACUCCGUGCCAGCAGCCGCGGUAAUACGGAGGAUCCGAGCGUUAUCCGGAUUUAUUGGGUUUAAAGGGAGCGUAGGUGGAUUGUUAAGUCAGUUGUGAAAGUUUGCGGCUCAACCGUAAAAUUGCAGUUGAAACUGGCAGUCUUGAGUACAGUAGAGGUGGGCGGAAUUCGUGGUGUAGCGGUGAAAUGCUUAGAUAUCACGAAGAACUCCGAUUGCGAAGGCAGCUCACUGGACUGCAACUGACACUGAGGCUCGAAAGUGUGGGUAUCAAACAGGAUUAGAUACCCUGGUAGUCCACACAGUAAACGAUGAAUACUCGCUGUUUGCGAUAUACAGUAA
RNAcentral lists this ribosomal RNA (400 nucleotides) under uncultured bacterium. RNAcentral describes it as "bacterial SSU rRNA". It matches the Rfam family "Bacterial small subunit ribosomal RNA", at positions 441 to 842 of the family's 1533-position model. The record is from RNAcentral.